This 240-nucleotide ribosomal RNA is filed under the name uncultured bacterium. RNAcentral describes it as "partial 16S ribosomal RNA". It matches the Rfam family "Bacterial small subunit ribosomal RNA", at positions 118 to 348 of the family's 1533-position model. The record is from RNAcentral.
UGGGUAACCUGCCUCAAAGAGGGGAAUAGCCUCCCGAAAGGGGAGAUUAAUACCGCAUAAUAUGUUUAGGUCGCAUGACUUUAACAUCAAAGGAUUUCUUUUAGAAAUUCCACUUUGAGAUGGACCCGCGGCGCAUUAGCUAGUUGGUGAGGUAACGGCUCACCAAGGCAACGAUGCGUAGCCGACCUGAGAGGUGAUCGGCCACAUUGGAACUGAGACACGGUCCAGACUCCUAGGAGG